ACGGGAGGCAGCAGUGGGGAAUCUUGCGCAAUGGGCGAAAGCCUGACGCAGCGACGCCGCGUGGGGGACGAAGGCCUUUCAGGUCGUAAACCCCUUUCGGCAGGGACGAAGCGAUCUCGUGACGGUACCUGCAGAAGAAGCCUCGGCUAACUACGUGCCAGCAGCCGCGGUAACACGUAGGAGGCGAGCGUUGUCCGGAAUCAUUGGGCGUAAAGAGCGCGCAGGCGGCCCGGCAAGUCGGGUGUGAAAUCCCGGGGCUCAACCCCGGGACUGCAUCCGAUACUGCCGGGCUAGAGGUAGGUAGGGGAGAUCGGAAUUCCUGGUGUAGCGGUGAAAUGCGCAGAUAUCAGGAGGAACACCGGUGGCGAAGGCGGAUCUCUGGGCCUUACCUGACGCUCAGGCGCGAAAGCUAGGGGAGCGAACAGGAUUAGAUACCCUGGUA
RNAcentral lists this ribosomal RNA (442 nucleotides) under uncultured Actinomycetes bacterium. Its description in RNAcentral is "bacterial SSU rRNA". It matches the Rfam family "Bacterial small subunit ribosomal RNA", at positions 341 to 792 of the family's 1533-position model. The record is from RNAcentral. Lineage: Bacteria; Bacillati; Actinomycetota; Actinomycetes.